RNAcentral lists this ribosomal RNA (497 nucleotides) under uncultured bacterium. Its description in RNAcentral is "partial 16S ribosomal RNA". It matches the Rfam family "Bacterial small subunit ribosomal RNA", at positions 28 to 507 of the family's 1533-position model. The record is from RNAcentral.
GAUGAACGCUGGCGGCGUGCCUAAUACAUGCAAGUCGAGCGAACAGACGAGGAGCUUGCUCCUCUGACGUUAGCGGCGGACGGGUGAGUAACACGUGGAUAACCUACCUAUAAGACUGGGAUAACUUCGGGAAACCGGAGCUAAUACCGGAUAAUAUAUUGAACCGCAUGGUUCAAUAGUGAAAGACGGUUUUGCUGUCACUUAUAGAUGGAUCCGCGCCGCAUUAGCUAGUUGGUAAGGUAACGGCUUACCAAGGCAACGAUGCGUAGCCGACCUGAGAGGGUGAUCGGCCACACGGGAACUGAGACACGGUCCAGACUCCUACGGGAGGAAGCAGUAGGGAAUCUUCCGCAAUGGGCGAAAGCCUGACGGAGCAACGCCGCGUGAGUGAUGAAGGUCUUCGGAUCGUAAAACUCUGUUAUUAGGGAAGAACAAAUGUGUAAGUAACUAUGCACGUAUUGACGGUACCUAAUCAGAAAGCCACGGCUAACUACGUG